GAUCUCGGUCACGAUGUGUUCUGUGAAUUUAUACUAUUGGGCAGUACUAAAUCAAACAUGGUUUGCGAUCAAUCAAAUGAAUGGAGGAACUUUGGCCACUGUUUAUCCUUUUAAUGGUAGUUUGAGGCUGUUCUGCUGAUGUUGCGACUCAGUAGAUUGAAGCAUUCCCAUGUAAUUUUAAUUGAGCUAUGGAAUUUCAAAUAAGCAUUCUGCAAAUAUGGUCUUCAAUUUCAGAGUUUGGAAAUUAAUAAUGGUUCUAUCUUGUUGAAAGAAGCCAGAAAAGAGCAAUUGUGAAUUGGCCUUGCAAUUAUUAGAGAACACAAGGGAUAGCCCAAGAAUGCUCACCUCCCAGAGGUUGUAUUUGGCAUAAAAAGAAAAGAUCCUACAGUUCACUGCUUUACAGUUACAUGA
This 411-nucleotide unclassified non-coding RNA is filed under the name Hevea brasiliensis (rubber tree). The record is from RNAcentral. Lineage: Eukaryota; Viridiplantae; Streptophyta; Magnoliopsida; Malpighiales; Euphorbiaceae.